RNAcentral lists this ribosomal RNA (434 nucleotides) under uncultured bacterium. Its description in RNAcentral is "bacterial SSU rRNA". It matches the Rfam family "Bacterial small subunit ribosomal RNA", at positions 355 to 786 of the family's 1533-position model. The record is from RNAcentral.
UGAGGAAUAUUGGUCAAUGGGCGGGAGCCUGAACCAGCCAAGCCGCGUGAAGGAAGAAGGCGCUAAGCGUCGUAAACAUCUUUUGUCGGGGAACAAAGGUCCGGACGUGUCCGGAUGAGAGUGUACCCGAAGAAAAAGCAUCGGCUAACUCCGUGCCAGCAGCCGCGGUAAUACGGAGGAUGCGAGCGUUAUCCGGAUUUAUUGGGUUUAAAGGGUGCGUAGGCGGUCUGUUAAGUCAGCGGUAAAAGCCCGGGGCUCAACCCCGGCGAGCCGUUGAAACUGGCGGACUAGAGAGGGCGAGAAGUACGCGGAAUGCGCAGUGUAGCGGUGAAAUGCAUAGAUAUUGCGCAGAACUCCGAUUGCGAAGGCAGCGUACCGGCGCCUUUGCUGACGCUGAGGCACGAAAGCGUGGGUAUCGAACAGGAUUAGAUACC